GGUACUUUUUCUUUAAUGAUUUCGAAUGGUUUACGAACAAAAUGAGCUUGAAAUUGAGUUUUUUCGUUAUAAAGCUAAGAACUAACUGUUCUAAAUUGUUAUGAUAACUUGACCAUUAUAGUGAACUCAACUAAAUAGAACAGGAACUAGUUUUACAAUUAAUCCAAUCAUUUAGCGGACGUUCGAUAAUCGAAUCCGUAAAAGAAAACUCCACCCGUUAGGUGAAAAAAAAGAAAAAAUUUUAUGUGGUUUCAUAUUUUUUUAAUUUUAAUACUAUGUGAUUUCGUAUUUUUUUAUUUUAGUACUAUGCGGUUUAAAAUGUAUCAAUUUAGUACAUUCCGUAGUUUUUUUUUUUUUUUUAUUUUAUCUACUAAUUUUUUUAAUUAAAUCAGUGAUAAAGUUAAAACUAAAA
This 412-nucleotide long non-coding RNA is filed under the name Ananas comosus (pineapple). RNAcentral describes it as "long non-coding RNA (ACOM_LNC022721)". The record is from RNAcentral. Lineage: Eukaryota; Viridiplantae; Streptophyta; Magnoliopsida; Poales; Bromeliaceae.